GACGAACGCUGGCGGCGUGCUUAACACAUGCAAGUCGAACGGAAAGGCCCUGCUUUUGUGGGGUGCUCGAGUGGCGAACGGGUGAGUAACACGUGAGUAACCUGCCCUUGACUUUGGGAUAACUUCAGGAAACUGGGGCUAAUACCGGAUAGGAGCCCCUGCUGCAUGGUGGGGGUUGGAAAGUUUCGGCGGUUGGGGAUGGACUCGCGGCUUAUCAGCUUGUUGGUGGGGUAGUGGCUUACCAAGGCUUUGACGGGUAGCCGGCCUGAGAGGGUGACCGGCCACAUUGGGACUGAGAUACGGCCCAGACUCCUACGGGAGGCAGCAGUGGGGAAUCUUGCACAAUGGGCGGAAGCCUGAUGCAGCAACGCCGCGUGCGGGAUGACGGCCUUCGGGUUGUAAACCGCUUUCGCCUGUGACGAAGCGUGAGUGACGGUAAUGGGUAAAGAAGCACCGGCUAACUACGUG
Molecule: ribosomal RNA, 468 nt
Filed under: uncultured bacterium
Lineage: Bacteria
Description: partial 16S ribosomal RNA
Rfam family: Bacterial small subunit ribosomal RNA
Source: RNAcentral